Molecule: ribosomal RNA, 366 nt
Filed under: uncultured Methanomicrobiales archaeon
Lineage: Archaea; Methanobacteriati; Methanobacteriota; Methanomicrobia; Methanomicrobiales
Description: bacterial SSU rRNA
Rfam family: Archaeal small subunit ribosomal RNA
Source: RNAcentral
ACUAGCUGAGAGGAGGUGCAUGGCCGUCGUCAGUUCGUACUGUGAAGCAUCCUGCUAAGUCAGGCAACGAGCGAGACCCACGCCAACAGUUGCCAGCUCGUCCUCCGUGAUGUGGGGACACUGUUGGGACCGCCUCGUGCGUAAAGAGGAGGAAGGAAUGGGCAACGGUAGGUCAGCAUGCCCCGAAUUAUCUGGGCUACACGCGGGCUACAAUGGGUGGGACAAUGGGUAUCGACACCGAAAGGUGAAGGCAAUCUCCUAAACCCAUCCGUAGUUCGGAUUGUGGGCUGCAACUCGCCCACAUGAAGCUGGAAUCUGUAGUAAUCGUGUCUCAAAAUGGCACGGUGAAUAUGUCCCUGCGUCCUU